UACGUAGGGUGCAAGCGUUGUCCGGAAUUACUGGGCGUAAAGCGCGUGUAGGCGGCUUCGCAAGUCGGGUGUGAAAUCCCACGGCUCAACCGUGGAAGUGCAUUCGAAACUGCAAGGCUAGAGUCCUGGAGAGGAAGGUGGAAUGCUUGGUGUAGAGGUGAAAUUCGUAGAUAUCAAGCGGAACACCGGUGGCGAAGGCGACCUUCUGGACAGUGACUGACGCUGAGACGCGAAAGCGUGGGGAGCAAACAGG
RNAcentral lists this ribosomal RNA (253 nucleotides) under uncultured bacterium. RNAcentral's name for it is "partial 16S ribosomal RNA". It matches the Rfam family "Bacterial small subunit ribosomal RNA", at positions 524 to 776 of the family's 1533-position model. The record is from RNAcentral.